This 446-nucleotide ribosomal RNA is filed under the name Nemopterinae gen. n. sp. n. SSKK01. RNAcentral describes it as "partial 16S ribosomal RNA". It matches the Rfam family "Archaeal large subunit ribosomal RNA", at positions 1906 to 2596 of the family's 2987-position model. Lineage: Eukaryota; Metazoa; Arthropoda; Insecta; Neuroptera; Nemopteridae. The record is from RNAcentral.
CAUGUCUUUUUGAUAAUAAUUUAAAGUCUAAUCUGCCCACUGAUUAUUUUGAAGGGCCGCAGUAAUUUGACUGUGCAAAGGUAGCAUAAUCAUUUGUCUUUUAAAUGGAGGCUAGAAUGAAUGAUUGGACGAAGUAUAAACUGUCUCGUUUUUAAAAGUAUAAAAAUUUAAUUUUUUAGUUAAAAAGCUGAAAUGAUUUUGGAGGACGAGAAGACCCUAUAGAUCUUUAUAUUAUUUUAUAUUUUUAAUAUUGGUAAAAUAUAUUUUGAGAAUAUUUUACAUAAUAUUUUGUUGGGGUGACAAGAAAAUUAAUUAAACUUUUCUUUUAUUAAACAUAGAUUAAUGAAUAUAUGAUCCAUUAUUAUUGAUAAUAAGAAUAAGUUACCUUAGGGAUAACAGCGUAAUUUUAUUGGAGAGUUCUUAUUGAUAAUAAAGUUUGCGACCUC